CGGGCUUUGUGCACUACUGGUCUUAGGAAGUACAAUGGUGGUUCCACGCGCAAAAAAUAAAAGGGGUGUACCAUAUGUACCCAGGUUGUGCUGGUGACCUGUAGUAUACUCCCCAUGUAUACCCCUAUGUUGUGUUAUGUAGCAGCAUCCUUGUUUAAGGGUAAACGCUGGGUUUUUGAACAAUGAAAUAUACCUGGGUCAAAUUGUUCUUUUGCAGAGAAAAAUGUACUCAACUCCCUGAACAUGCCUGGGUCAAAUUGUUCUUUUGCAGAGAAAAAUGUACUCAACUCCCUGAACAUGCCGAUUGGACUAGUUAAAUAUGAUAUUUCAUGGUUUCUUUAUGGUUGCAGCCAAGCAUGUCGCUAUAGUGUUUCUUGGAAUGGACAAAUUGAGCGCUAUAGUGUUUCUUGGAAUGGACAAAUUGAUCUAGACACUUCUCUUGGCCCAACUUUCAGGUAAAUCAUUUUGUCUUGCUGGCACUCAAGACAUUUGGCUUUGUUAGACCUUUUUAACAUGUUACCUUAUCAAAAUUUUGUUGCACAUGUGAAAAUUCUAUGCGUCUAUUUAGCCUUAUUGAUCAAACCAGAUAAUGAUAAGAAAUGAACUACUAGGUUUCUAGAACUCUGAUCUGACACACCUAUAUUUAGAAAUGGAGGGAGUAUAUAUAUACCAGAUCCCUUUCGUCCCGCACUGCACUAUCGCGCCCAAGGAGGAUUCAAAAGGGAGCAGCGGCGGCGAGAGGUCCUGCGCCGAUCGCAACCCUAGCCCAAGCACAUGCCGGUUGACGCUUCCGGAGGAAGCCGCUGCGAGCCUGCGACGUCCGAGGCCGACGGCGAUGCGCGGUGCGGCACUCGUUUACGGCCCUCAGCUAGGUCAACGCCGAAAUCUAGGAGCAGGCAAGUUGGCUAGAUCUCGUGGCCCUGGCUGUCCCGUCCCCGUCCCUGGGGUUCCGAGGUGCGCGACUGAUAUCCCGAUGUUCUAAUUUUUUUGAGGGUGCGACCAACAUAUAACAUCCCUUUUGGAUAGAUGCAGGAGAGGACGUACAUGAUGUUGCGGAUGAAUGGAGUCGGCGAGUGCAGCGAUUAUGGGAGCUCAGAGGACGGGAGCUACGAGCAUGAGCAUGAGGAGGAGCCGAAGCACCACCACCGCGUCCACCUCCAGGAGCACCCAGGUGGUGUCCAUGGUGAUGGGGAUGAUGAUCUCAAGGCUGAGGGUGAGGGCUACUUGCAAGGAUGAAGGCGAGGACGAGCUCUCCGAGGCUUUGGAGAGGAGGAGUUCGAUUAGGAUGACGAGGUGCAGGACGUGGAGCCAGCACUAGACCCUGCAGAGUACAGGUUGUCACAUGGCUUAUGCCCCUCGCUGGGAUCAACGAUUGUGAGUAUGUUUUGUUUUUCAGCUCAUUUCACAUUUCGCGUGGGUUGCUGUUGUGCCGCCUUACUUCUGCUUUGUAGGGCGGGCAGAGGAGCAUGUUGAUUAUCACAUAAAUGCUGCGCAGGUAGUGAUUUAUGUUUCCUUUUCUUGGAUGGAUUUAUUUUUUGUAUUUGAAGUUGGAAGUUGGGAGCACUCAAUUUUUGAUUAAAUGACCUUGGACCGACAACAAUGCUUAUUUUGUUAAUGCGUGUGACAUAUAGUGUAGUACGAGUAAAUAUUUAUUUUAAUUGAAGCAGUGGCACAAUUCCUUGGUAGAGCUAAAUUAUUCUCUGAUAUAGCAAUCAAAGUCAAAAGCAACUUAUGAUGUACUCCCUCCAUUCCAAAUUACUCGUCUUAGAAAUGGAUGUAUGUACAAUUAAAAUAUAUCUAGACACAUCCAUACAUGUGACAAGUAAUUCGGAACGGAGGGAGUAGAUAAUAUGCUAUAAGUGGUAACAUUUACCUCCUGCCAUGCUUUCUCCGGGGAUUGUGGCAUGCACCUCCAAUUCGUCUAAUUUAUGCGUGGUGAACUUUAUCUUUGUUCGAAUUGUGGUAUCGUGUUUUUUCUUACUUAUUGAAACCAGCCAAAUUUGACAGAGUACCUGACAUUUACAAAUCGGCAUGUUACUGAAGAAACACAUGAUUCAUGGCAAGGUUUAUCCAGAUGAAUACUCGUAUGAGGCAAGUUAUUUUUGCUUUAUUCCCUUUGGUGCCCGGGCUUGCAUCUGAAGUUCCAAGAUGCAAUGCUAAUGGUUCUAGAUUUCUAGUCAUGAUUUCAGGAAUUAGUUGCAUUGGGUGAAGUGGUUGGUACAGAAAGUAGAGGUCUCUCUGCUGAUACACUUGCUUCCUUAGCUUCAGUAACCUACAACACAAAAGAUAUGGAAGAUGGCAACAUAAAACAGUACGUUCAAAUACUUUUAAGUUUCAAUAUCCUUACAGUAAUAUAUAUGAUUAAAGUGGCAUGCUAACGUGUAAUUAUUGUUGGUAGACGUGUAAUUUGUCGCAGGGAAUUUGAGAAAGGUGAAUCCUUGGUUGCACUUCCCUACAAGCAUUCAUGCCAUCCUGACUGCAUUAUUCAGUGGCGUCAAAUAAAUAAGGUACAAUGCCACUUUCAACCUAGUUAUUGUUAGAACAUAUAGUUCCCCAUAGAUGAGGAUUGCCUAUGUUUUCAUGGUAUGAAGCAUAUCAGGCAAUCACACCUGCGCGAUGGAAAAUGUAGGGUUCCUUUGUACCUCUACUAUACAACCACACGUCUAUGCUUAUUAAUCAAGUCACCUGAAUAGAAAAUGUAGGGUUCCUUUGUACCUGCGCACCACUUUUUUUAUACAUAUUUUAGUAUUUGUAUUUUUAGACGUCUUGGGUCUCUAGAACUCAGGUUUGGUGAUAGUAUUUUUGUUUAGGGUUUUAUAUACUAGGCUAUUGGUAUUCCUUGUAGAAUUUUUGCACCUCCAACAGUGUAUGUAAAAAUGGGCAUUUCUAAAAAUUAAUUGAAAGUUCUUAAUGUAAUUUGUCCAUAGAUGUUUCAGCAGCAUACAUAUAUGGUGAGUAUUUACACGAUGUCUUGUGUGCAAUUAUCUAUAUGUCAUGACCAUUUACUUUUCACUCUAAAUGAUCAUGACCAUUUACUUUUGUGUUAGCAAAUUUUUAUUCAAAUUCAAGUUAAAUUGAAAGCUUCUGAUCUUGCUAACAUGUGUGUGUGAAUUCAUACUAAUGCUCAAAGUUUAGGUUCUAACACCCAGUUAAUGCUGAAAAUUAGAGUGUAAUGAUUGUGAUGUCUCAUGAGACUUGAAUAUACCAUAUAUGGAAGUCCCAUUUUAUAUUAUUGCACAUAUAGUAUAGAGAAGUAGAAAUAUGCAAAUGGACGAGCAUUUAACUUAUGUAGUGUUGUGUACAAGAAAUCAACGUUUACUCCUACCUUAUUUCUACCUGUAUAUACUGAUGUUGUUUAUCUCCUGCUGAGCUGGUUGUAACCUUGUUUCUGUAUGGUGUCCUCUUAGUGGGUAAUCCCCUGUGAGUUAUACAGGCUGUUGCUGCCAUGUUUUUCAAAUGUACAAAUUGGUCAUCAUCAUCUCUUCAUGAUUCACGAGCUUUCAGGUAAAGCAUCUUGUCUGACUGCCGCAGCAGGCCAUUGUUGCGCCUGAUAAAAUCUUGUGUGAUGUUGAUUUGCUUCGGGGGCAGUUCUUCUGCUUAGGUUUCUGGUUACUACGGGCAUAUUUCAGUAGGGACCUAGGUGUUUUGCAGGUUACUCUGGCAGCAUUUUGAUUGUUAACAUGCUACUUUGUAAAUAAACCAUGCAAUAAAGUUUUUCUAUUGUUACAGAUCUGGACACAACUGGCCUCCUCAACCUGUAGCUACAUGCAUUCAUGCACUACACGCAUGCCGUCUCCAAGGCUCCAACCUCGCUCGGCAAAGAAUGGCCAAGCAAGCAGAGGUAACGUAGCACUCGCCACCAAACGCUUCCGCGGGAGAGUCUCAUGGUCCUGCAGGUUUAUACUUUUUAGAGAUCGAGAGAGUGAGAGAUGCCGGCCAGUACAUGGAGGACCCAUCCAACGAGUCGAUCGGACGCCCAUCAUGCAGCAUCCUCAACCUCUAGCUCCUUAAUGGCUACCAGACGACCAUCUGGCUGCAUCCGGCCAGUACAUGAAGAUACCGAUCGAUCUUUGUAACUUCUACUAUUGUCCCUAUUAAUUGGUAUCAAUCGGUAUAUCUUUGCAAUUUUUGCUGGCUCCAAUGGGUAGAUCUGAGUAAUUUUUGUGAAAGUUCCUGGUUUUGUGUCUGUGUUCAAGCCACUUUUAAUUGUUGUGAAAAUUCCUGGUAUUGUGUCUGUGUUGAAGCCACUUUCUGACCCAGCAAAGAGAAGGAGGAUUCCGACGGAGUAAAUGAUGUGUUUUUCGCACCAGGUGCCAUUUCAUAUCCAGAACUCCCCCAAGGUAUGCUAUGAAUUGGAUCCAGCCUCAACUACAAAGGAACUUCUCCAAGUAGUUCCAGUUUGAUGAUGCCACAUAUGCUUGCUCUGACUUCUGUCCUUUCCUCCCCGCCCACCUUUCUUUUGUGGAGCAUGAAGAAGGUAACACUCAUCGGUCGUCUAUCUCUAUCCCUCUCCUUCCAUAGCUGGCCAACAGUAAGUGCUCCCAAUUAAUGAGCAUCCAUUCCAAAGAUUUUCUUCACAUGAAACGGUGUAAUGGAACAUUAAUCCAGGACAGUUGUGGCCGCGGGGAGGAUCUCGAAGCUGUAGGCAUAAGACCGAAUGGGUAGGUCGCGGAGAUGAGACGGCACACACGGCCUGCAGGAGACCAACAUGGCAGCUUGUUUGAGGGGAUGUUGCCCAGGCGAUGGGGCUCGAGGGACAAACAAACUCAUCGGGAUGGCUUGCGGUGGGCCGGGCUUUGUGCACUACUGGUCUUAGGAAGUACAAUGGUGGUUCCACGCGCAAAAAAUAAAAGGGGUGUACCAUAUGUACCCAGGUUGUGCUGGUGACCUGUAGUAUACUCCCCAUGUAUACCCACAUGUUGUGUUAUGUAGCAGCAUCCUUGUUUAAGGGUAAACGCUGGGUUUUUGAACAAUGAAAUAUACCUGGGUCAAAUUGUUCUUUUGCAGAGAAAAAUGUACUCAACUCCCUGAACAUGCCUAUUGGACUAGUUAAAUAUGAUAUUUCAUGGGUUCU
This 5074-nucleotide long non-coding RNA is filed under the name Triticum aestivum (bread wheat). RNAcentral's name for it is "long non-coding RNA (TAES_LNC026277)". Lineage: Eukaryota; Viridiplantae; Streptophyta; Magnoliopsida; Poales; Poaceae. The record is from RNAcentral.